Otolemur garnettii (small-eared galago) is the source of this 105-nucleotide unclassified non-coding RNA. It matches the Rfam family "Y RNA". Rfam says of the family: Y RNAs are components of the Ro ribonucleoprotein particle (Ro RNP), in association with Ro60 and La proteins. The Y RNAs and Ro60 and La proteins are well conserved, but the function of the Ro RNP is not known. Lineage: Eukaryota; Metazoa; Chordata; Mammalia; Primates; Galagidae. The record is from Ensembl.
GGCUGGUCCACAUGCAGUGGUGUGCACAACUAAUUGAUUGAUUUAGCUGUAAUACUAAUUCCCUGUUCCUUCUCUACUCCCACUGUUUCACUUGACUAACUUUUA